UUUUUUGCUAUUGCAUCAUCAUCAAGAUUCAGAAAUCAUAUUCUUUGAUGGGUUCUCCUUCGAGCCUGUCUUUUUUGGUUUGAGAAUCUUGAUGAUGCUGCAGCGGCGAUUAA
Brassica oleracea var. oleracea is the source of this 113-nucleotide microRNA precursor. It matches the Rfam family "mir-172 microRNA precursor family". Rfam says of the family: mir-172 has been experimentally verified in Arabidopsis thaliana. This family is thought to target mRNAs coding for APETALA2-like transcription factors. Lineage: Eukaryota; Viridiplantae; Streptophyta; Magnoliopsida; Brassicales; Brassicaceae. The record is from Rfam.